This is a long non-coding RNA of Rhododendron vialii, 688 nucleotides long. RefSeq lists it as uncharacterized. NCBI's taxonomy places the organism in Eukaryota, Viridiplantae, Streptophyta, Magnoliopsida, Ericales, Ericaceae. The transcript has 2 exons. The record is from RefSeq and is a predicted model, not a curated record.
UAGUAUGUUGUAGAGUCGCUAUGGAGUCGGUACGAUAUUGUGUUGUACUAAGAGAGAAAGGCGUGUACUGAUUUGUUAGUCAAUGUUCUAUUAUGAUUGAUCGUUUGGAAUAUUUUGAAAUGUGAUUGUCGAUGCGUGUUUGACCUAUAAAUCAGUUUGAUUGAUGUGCCUUAUUGUGUCAUGAGAUUAGAGAAGUGUUUGUUGAAUGAGUUGUAUGAUUGUUGGGAUUUGAAUGGUUGCAAUUUAGAAUUUGAACGAGGAAGUGACUGCAACGCAAGGGGUGGAAAUGCAGACUGCAACGCAAGGGGUGGUAAUGCAGAGACCCAAAUAAUGGGUGAUGUUGACUGCAACGCAAGGGGUGGAAAUGCAGACUGCAACGCAAGGGAUGGAAAUGCAGAGUGGUUGAGAUUAUGAGAAGUGUCGAAAUGGUUGCGAACCUAUUGAACACUACAUGGACACAGUCUUGGAGGGUGUGAAGUGCAUGCUGACAUCGCAGGCUAAAGUUAUUUUCUGAAGAACUUGUCUUUCCCUUGUAAAUCAAACUGUAUUGUACUAUUUUCUCUAAUUUGGAAUACUGUAUCAAUUGACAAAAUUGUGAGAUUUAGAAACUGUAUGUUGUAAUUUGGGGUACCGUAUGUACUAUUGUGAGGAUUUGUAUUUAAAAUGGUAUUGUUAUUUAUGUUAAAAA